UCCCGUAGUAUAUCUGUCCAGAUAUUUAAGUCUGUAUUGUUGACCUGAACGCAUAUGUGUGUUUUUUAGUGGAACAGAUGCAUACUUACUGUAAAUGCAGGAGGUCGUUCCCAACUUCCCAUCGUAUAUUUGUAUAGAUCUUUGCUGUACGGGCCUAAUAUGUACUGUAAAUGCACCUUAACUACUUUUAAAUUUUUUUACUGAUUGUUAUGUGGCUCGUGGUCAUGUACAAAGUCUAACAUGUAUGGAUGUGCAGAUUGAAAAGUUCAUCAGAAUAUUGCACGGGAGGUUCUAUCAUCCACCAUCCAGAUUUUUUGUACGUUUGUUUGUUCAAAUUUUCUUUCUUUUAAGUUUAUAUACAGCGAUUUAAUUUGUAGUUCAACUUAUUUUGCAGAGAGUUUGGUUGGUCUGCUUGGAUAGGGGUUUAGGAGGUGCUUUCAGGUAGAGCUAAAGACUUUGUAAUGUGCAAUUUAGCACCUUCAUAGUAGUAUUUGUAAGAUUUUUUAUGAUAAAAAAUAAUGUAUUUUCGAAAGAUUUAUGACUGAAGUUUUCCUUUCAUUUUGGUUACACAUUCUUUGCAGUUCUCUCCCUCUCUCUCUCUCUCUCUCUCUCUCUCUCUCUGUGUGUGUGUAUGUGAUUACACAUGACUUGAUGGUGAUUAGUCUGAAAUAUUUGUGAAGCGAGGCUAUGUCUACAGGUUUUGCGGUUCUUUGUAGACAUGCCCAAGGUUACUUUAGGAUUUCUUGGUGGAUUCCAUUCUAAAUCCUCUUUGUUAAAAUAAUAUAUAAGCUAAUGUCAGUUUUUUUUUUUUUUGCUUUCACCCACCUGAUAGAAGACACGCAAUAGGAACAUAGAAGCAUGUGUAGUAUCGAAUUUGCAGUUGGAUAUAGUACUUUUAUCUUAACCUUUUUAAAUUCAAGAAUAACUUAUUUCUCCCUGAGUGCAUUUUAUCAUGCUAUGUUCCCUUGCUAUUUCUCCUACAUUGUUUGACUACCUAGCUCUAAAAAGUCAGUAUUGACUCAAUUUUCCAGGGCUGGGUUAGUAUCCUAAUAUUUUGAACAAGAGGUCUGUGAAUAGUUUUGAUACGCUACAUUGUAAAGUUUUCGUUUGAGGUCAAGCUUAUUUUUGCUUUUGAUUCCAACAGAGUACACAACACAAUUUAUUAUUUUCUGACUCAUUCAUUGUUUAUGCAGAUCUAGAUAACUUUGGUACGGAGUGUUGUGUUUAUAUUAAGUUGAUUUUCAGUGAUGUUUGAAAAUUUCCACAAACACGAUUCUUUGGUUUCCAGUGGCCAUUUUAAGAAGAUGAUCUAUUCAUGCUUUUAAAUUUGUCGAUUCAAUCCACCAACUAAAUAAGUAGCUGGCGUACACUGUAUGUUGUUAGCAAACCAUCAGCAAAGCCUCGGAUAUUGUGCCUUGGCCAGUAAGCUUGCUCCAACCAAGAAUAUGAAGAGGCAGACACGUGAGACAUCUAAGGGGAAACUGUGGGCAUGGUUUGCUUGUGAGCUGUGUUUAAUUUGCGAUGUAUAGUUGUAUGUGAUGUAACCAACCUUAAUAUCCGCAAGUGGCACUUUUAGUUUCCCUUCUUUUUGCUGAUGAGUUUCAUUUUCAAUGGAAAAUAGAACUGAGCAGUUCCUCCCUAUUCUAAAAACCUGUUUGUUCUGUUAGAAAAUUAUUCUUCUAGAAGAAGUGAGCAUCACACAUAGUUGUCC
This 1711-nucleotide long non-coding RNA is filed under the name Triticum aestivum (bread wheat). RNAcentral describes it as "long non-coding RNA (TAES_LNC018713)". The record is from RNAcentral. Lineage: Eukaryota; Viridiplantae; Streptophyta; Magnoliopsida; Poales; Poaceae.